This 505-nucleotide ribosomal RNA is filed under the name uncultured bacterium. RNAcentral describes it as "partial 16S ribosomal RNA". It matches the Rfam family "Bacterial small subunit ribosomal RNA", at positions 28 to 507 of the family's 1533-position model. The record is from RNAcentral.
GACGAACGCUGGCGGCGUGCCUAAUACAUGCAAGUAGAACGCACAGUUUAUACCGUAGCUUGCUACACCAUAGAAUGUGAGUUGCGAACGGGUGAGUAACGCGUAGGUAACCUGCCUGGUAGCGGGGGAUAACUAUUGGAAACGAUAGCUAAUACCGCAUAAUAUUAAUUAUUGCAUGAUAAUUAAUUGAAAGGUGCAAUUGCACCACUACCAGAUGGACCUGCGUUGUAUUAGCUAGUAGGUGAGGUAACGGCUCACCUAGGCGACGAUACAUAGCCGACCUGAGAGGGUGAUCGGCCACACUGGGACUGGGACACGGCCCAGACUCCUACGGGAGGCAGCAGUAGGGAAUCUUCGGCAAUGGACGAAAGUCUGACCGAGCAACGCCGCGUGAGUGAAGAAGGUUUUCGGAUCGUAAAGCUCUGUUGUAAGAGAAGAACGGGUGUGAGAGUGGAAAGUUCACACUGUGACGGUAUCUUACCAGAAAGGGACGGCUAACUACGUG